Long non-coding RNA from Onychostoma macrolepis, 1092 nucleotides. RefSeq lists it as uncharacterized. The transcript has 3 exons. The record is from RefSeq and is a predicted model, not a curated record. Lineage: Eukaryota; Metazoa; Chordata; Actinopteri; Cypriniformes; Cyprinidae.
AGUGAUUCAUGAACAACUAUCACUAAACAAAAAAAACACAGUAAUUAAUAAUAAAAAACAAUGCAUACAAAAAUUAUAUUUCUACAUGCAUACAGUACAUAUGGAUGAAUUAUAAGAAUUAAAUAUAUAUUUAAUUUAAUAAAACUGAUACAACUGAAGUACAGAAAGUUUAUAAAUACGUAAAAUACAUAAAGAUGCAUCUGUUUUUCACCCCUGAUGCGUCUGCAUCCCUGUUCCAAGAAUAUAUUAUUGUAUUGUUUUCUUCAUUGUCGAUUUAUAUAUUGAAUAACUUGAUAAGCUGCACCUUUUCUCCCAAGGUUAGCACGUUUGAUGCUGCAUCUCUGCAACAUAAAAAUACUUUCACUCGCUUUCUUUUGUCUUCGGUGCCUGAAUUAACCAGAAUUCCCACAGUAACUAAUGUUUGAGCUUUUUUACUUUCAAAACAAACAAGCUUUACUGUCUCUCUGUGUUUUGAUGUGGCUGAUGGUAGUAAAGUUAAAUGUCACCAUCCUUCAUUCAUUAUGGCCUUUAAUCAACUACAGCACAAGAUUUAUAAAGCUGCUGAUGUAUACACGUUCACCUCUGAAGACGAUCAGUCGGUUCUGAAUGAGCACCGCUUCAGAAGCAGCAGAGAGAGACAGACAGAUUCUGUGUUCAUGAAGCACUGAACUGAAGCUCAUUAAGGCCGAUCACAUCAGAAGAAUCCGAAACACUGCAGACGCUUCCAGACAGACAGAUCCUGUUCUUCAAGUCACGCUGUUGCCGUCUGCAGCGCCAAGAGAAAAGAGAGCGAUUGAGAGCAGCCGUCGCUGGAGUCCAGAUCACCUCAAACACACACCGUCUUCAGUCGCUGCGUGGACUGUAAAUCUGUUUUUGUGUAGGCUGAUGUGAAAUAUGAACAAUUCAUUUUACAAUUAUUCACUUCAGCAGAUGCUUUUAUCUAAAACAACUUACAAAUGAAGAACAUCACAAGUAAUUUGUGAGGCUGACGUGCAGAAUAGAAGAGACAAUAAGAUUUUUUAACUUGAACAUUUUUUUAAAUGAAACCAUAUAAUAUUCCAAGUCAUUCAAGAACUCCCUCUUUUCUGAAAA